This 712-nucleotide small RNA is filed under the name Pongo abelii (Sumatran orangutan). RNAcentral describes it as "processed transcript". The record is from RNAcentral. Lineage: Eukaryota; Metazoa; Chordata; Mammalia; Primates; Hominidae.
CGAGGCCUGGGCGGCCUGAGGAGCGCGGACCCCGGCGCUCGGCUCCCGGCGCCAUGUGAGGGGGCUCGGGGGCCGCGGGGGGCCGGGCGCUCCCCGCCGGAGAUGAGGAAACUGAGGCUCAGAGAGGUCACAUGGCUUGCUCGAGGCCCCCCAGCCAGUGUGAACCCACGUCCCUGCCCCCAGGGCCACCUGCAGGACGCGGACACCUACCCCUCAGCAGACGCCGGAGAGAAAUGAGUAGCAACAAACUCCAACAGUGCCAGUGAGGUCUUCCAUUACGGCUCCCUGCGGGGCCGUAGCCGCCGACCUGUCAACCUCAAGAAGUGGAGCAUCACUGACGGCUAUGUCCCCAUUCUCGGCAACAAGACGCUGCCUUCUCGGUGCCACCAGUGUGUGAUUGUCAGCAGCUCCAGCCACCUGCUGGGCACCAAGCUGGGCCCUGAGAUCGAGCGGGCUGAGUGUACAAUCCGCAUGAAUGAUGCACCUACCACUGGCUACUCAGCUGAUGUGGGCAACAAGACCACCUACCGCGUCGUGGCCCAUUCCAGUGUGUUCCGAGUGCUGAGGAGGCCCCAGGAGUUUGUCAACCGGACCCCUGAAACCGUGUUCAUCUUCUGGGGGCCCCCAAGCAAGAUGCAGAAGCCCCAGGGCAGCCUCGUGCGUGUGAUCCAGCGGGCGGGCCUGGUGUUCCCCAACAUGGAAGCAUAUGCCG